RNAcentral lists this ribosomal RNA (254 nucleotides) under uncultured bacterium. Its description in RNAcentral is "partial 16S ribosomal RNA". It matches the Rfam family "Bacterial small subunit ribosomal RNA", at positions 524 to 776 of the family's 1533-position model. The record is from RNAcentral.
UACGUAGGGUGCGAGCGUUGUCCGGAAUUAUUGGGCGUAAAGAGCUCGUAGGCGGUCUGUCGCGUCUGCUGUGAAAUCCCGAGGCUCAACCUCGGGCUUGCAGUGGGUACGGGCAGGCUAGAGUGCGGUAGGGGAGAAUGGAACUCCUGGUGUAGCGGUGGAAUGCGCAGAUAUCAGGAAGAACACCGAUGGCGAAGGCAGUUCUCUGGGCCGUAACUGACGCUGAGGAGCGAAAAGCGUGGGGAGCGAACAGG